This 5677-nucleotide unclassified non-coding RNA is filed under the name Zerene cesonia (dogface butterfly). Its description in RNAcentral is "muscle calcium channel subunit alpha-1-like, transcript variant X2". Lineage: Eukaryota; Metazoa; Arthropoda; Insecta; Lepidoptera; Pieridae. The record is from RNAcentral.
CGCGCGCGCCCGCCCAGCGCUUUUUUAUUUAAAAAUAAAACUCAUUUUCGUCCAGCAUUCCAGUCUAUAGUCUUUGUACAGAUAACAAUUAAUUAGAAACGUAUUAUGAAUUUUGUUUUUAAACUGUGCUAAAAUUAUUUGUGAAAGGAUAAUGUUUAAAAAUAGUGUUUUACGGAGAUCCAGUGCAGACGUAAAGCUCGUUGUAUUUCGGUGACAUAUCGACGACCUCGAACAAGCGCUUUGGCGGUUUUCGCGUUAUUUUUUUAAAUUCGGCCAGUGUGUACGGACUGUGUUCUUUUUUUAAAUGUUAAUUGUUUCGUGUGUCAAACAGUAAAAUGUGUUGUUGAAUUAUUUUCGGAUUGCCCUAUUAUUUUAUAAACGGUGGUAAUGGCGGACCAAGCACAACCCACCACCCCAGAGGGUGACGACACCGGCCAGCCGGUGGUGGUACAACCAAAGAAACAGGCGCGAGCUAGGGGGAAACCGCAGCCUGAGAAACCCAAGAGGAGCCUCCUGUGUUUGGGCUUGAAGAACCCACUUAGAAAACUCUGCUAUGAUAUCGUGGAGUGGAAACCCUUCGAAUAUAUGAUUUUGACAACGAUAUUUGCAAAUUGCAUCGCGCUUGCUGUAUUCACGCCCUACCCUUCCGGAGAUACGAAUAAUACUAAUCAGAUUUUAGAAAAAGUGGAAUGGAUAUUCAUGGCAAUCUUCACCGGAGAAUGUGUGAUGAAAAUUAUAGCAUAUGGCUUCUUAUUUCAUCCUGGCGCAUACCUUAGGAAUGCAUGGAACAGUCUCGACUUUACCAUCGUCACUAUUGGAAUAGCGAGUCAGAUAUUGCAAUAUAUUUCAAAGGAUCUGUUCGAUGUGAAAGCUCUGAGGGCGUUCAGAGUGCUGCGGCCGUUACGUCUAGUAUCUGGAGUGCCAAGUCUCCAAAUAGUACUCAACUCGAUCCUGAAAGCGAUGGUGCCCUUGUUCCACAUAGCGUUCCUAGUGCUUUUCGUGAUCAUCAUCUACGCUAUCAUCGGUCUGGAACUCUUUGCUGGUGCUCUCCAUGAUACCUGUUUUGAUAAUCAGACAGGUAAAAUGGUAGACGAUCCCACCCCCUGCUCCCGUGACGCGGAAGUGGGGAACCAUUGCAACGAGGGGGAGGUUUGCAAGGGCUAUUGGGAGGGGAUCAACUUUGGUAUCACCAAUUUUGAUAAUAUCGGAUACUCCAUGUUGACCGUGUUCCAAUGCAUCACGCUAGAAGGAUGGACGGAUAUUAUGUAUGCUAUAGCAGACGUAAAAGGGAAUACCUGGGUCUGGAUAUAUUUCGUGACUCUGGUCAUUUUUGGAAACUUUUUCGUGAUGAACCUUAUUCUUGGUGUGUUGUCUGGAGAGUUCUCCAAAGAGAGAGAGAAAGCCAAGAACCGGGGUGACUUCCAGAAGUCACGUGAGCGGCAGCAGUUUGAAGAGGACCUGAAGGGCUACCUCAACUGGAUCACCGUCGCUGAGGAGCUCGACCUGGAGAACGACCAGGGGCAGAGGGAUCAAGACCAGGAUGACCAGGGAAAUAAGAAAGAAAGAAAAAAUAACGAGGGCUCUCAGAACAAUAUAAAUUCGAACGGCGACGCCCAGCAGACGACAUCUUGUAAAAUAUAUUGCAAGAGGUUUGAUAAAGUGAACCGGCGCAUGCGCAGGGCGUGCCGCAAGGCCGUCAAGUCGCAGACGUUCUACUGGGCGAUCAUUGUUCUUGUGUUUUUGAAUACACUCGUUUUGGCAACAGAACAUCAUAAUCAACCACAGUGGCUGGAUGAUGUUCAGAACUACGCAAACUACUUGUUUGUUGUGCUCUUCACGAUGGAGAUGCUGGUAAAGAUGUACGCUUUAGGCUUUCAGGGUUACUUCGUAUCCUUGUUCAACCGCUUCGACUGUUUCGUCAUGGUGUGCUCGAUCGUCGAACUGGCUCUCACGAUAUCGGGAACGAUUCCGCAACUCGGUAUAUCUGUGUUGCGUUGUGUUAGAUUGCUUCGGGUUUUUAAGGUUACUAAAUACUGGCGUUCCCUCUCCAAUCUGGUUGCUUCUCUUCUCAACUCCAUCCAGUCUAUCUUCUCCCUUCUCUUACUCUUGUUCCUGUUCAUCAUGAUCUUCGCUCUGUUGGGGAUGCAGGUGUUCGGCGGAAGAUUUGACUAUGAGCCUGAGGAACAGAAGGAGAGACACAACUUCGACUCUUUCUGGCAAGCGGUGUUGACUAUGUUUCAGAUUUUAACAGGCGAAGAUUGGAACGUGGUGAUGUACCACGGUAUCAACGCCUAUGGCGGUGUCGGCACGCCCGGCAUGUUGGCCUCUAUCUAUUUCAUCGUCAUCUUCAUUUGUGGUAACUACAUUCUAUUGAACGUGUUCUUGGCCAUUGCCGUCGACAAUUUGGGAGACGCUGAAGAUAUGGAUGAAGAAAUUGUGAAAGAGAAAGAUGGUGGAGAUAACCCUGAAGCCGGGAAUCCACAGCUGGAUGAAGAAAGAGGUGAAACUGAUGAUGAAUAUGCCAAUGAUGAAGAAGGAUACUCUAGUGACGGAUCGGAGAAUGAAUAUGAAGAGACAGGGUCGGAGGAAGAGGGUGAAUUAGAGCAAGAGGAACAGAAUGAUGGUGUUAAAGACGUUUUAGUCACUGCAGAGAAGAAGCAAAAUGGAGACAUAAAGAAGGAGGAACCUCAGCCCCCUCCCAAACGCCAACCCACCAUCACAGCUCGCCCCAGAAGACUGUCUGAAGUGGAAAUAAAGACCCAAGAGAAACCCAUUCCAGAAGCCACCAGCUUCUUUAUAUUUUCAAAGGAUAAUUGGUUCCGAGUUUCCUGCUACAAGGUACAGAACAACUCGUGGUUCCGGAAUCUAAUUCUGAUUUGCAUUCUGGCCUCGUCUCUCAUGUUGGCCAUGGAGGAUCCAGUCGAAGGGAAAUCCACGGAAGCAAAGCGAGAGAUCCUUCGCAAGAUCGACUAUUUCUUCACCACGGUGUUCACCAUCGAGCUGAUAUUGAAACUUAUCACCUAUGGUUUCAUCCUUCACAAGGAUGCCUUCUGUCGCUCCGCUUUUAACUUGUUGGACUUGUUGGUUGUUAUCGUUUCUCUUGUAUCUUUAACUGGCUCAAACAACGUAUCAUUCAUAAAGAUCUUGCGAGUGUUCAGAGUGCUGAGACCGCUCCGUGCGAUAAACCGGGCGAAAGGUUUGAAGCACGUAGUACAAUGCGUUAUCGUUGCUAUUAAAACGAUCGGCAACAUUUUGUUGGUGACAAACCUCCUUCAGUUCAUGUUCGCUGUAAUGGGAGUGCAAAUGUUCAAGGGAAAAUUCUAUAUGUGUUCAGAUAUAACCAAAGUGAAUUCUGAACAAUGCCAGGGAGCAUAUCUGGUAUACAAGAAUAACAAGCCAACCAUUGAAGAUCGUGUUUGGAUGAAAAAUAAGUUUAAUUUUGAUAAUGUACUCAAUGGAAUGCUCACUCUGUUCACUGUGUCCACAUUUGAGGGGUGGCCAGGCUUAUUAUCUACGUCAAUGGAUUCGAAUGAAGAGAAUCAUGGUCCUAUAGAAAAUUCUCGGCCACUCGUCGCGUUUUUCUAUAUAAGUUAUAUUAUUGUGAUAGCAUUUUUUAUGGUUAAUAUAUUCGUAGGUUUUGUCAUAGUUACAUUCCAAAAGGAAGGAGAGCAGGAGUUUAAAGAUUGUGAAUUAGAUAAAAAUCAGAGGAAUUGUAUAGAGUUUGCGUUGAAAGCGAAACCAAUUAGAAGGUAUAUACCAAAACAUAGAAUACAGUAUAAGACAUGGUGGUUUGUGACGUCACAAAGAUUUGAAUACGUAAUAUUUUUCUUUAUCGUCCUUAACACAGUGGCACUCAUGAUGAAAUAUCAUGACGCGAAACCCCUCUAUAAGAAAGCGUUAGAUUAUCUAAAUAUGGUUUUAACUACAGUAUUUAUGUUGGAGUUCGUCUUUAAAUUGGCAGCAUUUAGAUUUAAGAAUUACUUUGGCGACGCGUGGAAUACGACCGACUUUAUUCUAGUUGUGGGUAGUAUCAUAGACAUUGUGGUGACUCAGGUCAAUGAGAAUAAACUGCCGUCUCUUGCUCCUUUGGAAGUUAAAGAGCUGGACACAUCUAAUGAAAAUAAGGAGGGCACCCUCUUAAAAUACAUCAUUUUCUUCCGACUCUUUCGAGCAAUGCGACUGAUAAAGCUACUAUCGCGGGGCGAGCGAAUACGAACCUUAUUGUGGACGUUCAUAAAGUCCUUCCAAGCUCUGCCCUAUGUCGCCUUGUUGAUCGUCCUACUUUUCUUCAUUUACGCUGUGGUUGGGAUGCAGCUCUUCGGUAAAAUAGCACUGGAUGAUGACAUUAUUACAAGAAAUAACAAUUUCCAAACGUUCGGUGGCGCUCUGAUGGUGUUGUUUAGAUCAGCUACUGGAGAAGCAUGGCAGGACAUAAUGAUGGCUCUAUCACCAAAUGAAGACCAACAUCCUGGAGUACCAGUAGCUUGUUUCAGGCCUGAUGGCGAUAAUUCCACAAUAUCCGAUGAAGGAUGUGGAACACGUCUCUCGUUCCCUUACUUCAUAUCUUUCUCGCUGCUUUGUACGUUUUUAAUUAUCAACUUGUUCGUGGCUGUAAUUAUGGACAACUUCGAUUAUCUGACAAGGGAUUGGUCCAUCCUCGGGCCACAUCAUCUUGAUGAAUUUGUGAGAUUAUGGAGUGAGUAUGAUCCAGAUGCCAAAGGACGUAUCAAGCAUUUGGACGUGGUAACGUUGUUGAGGAAAAUAAGUCCUCCAUUAGGCUUCGGCAAACUGUGUCCGCACCGGACCGCAUGCAAGCGCCUCGUCUCAAUGAACAUGCCCCUCAACUCUGACGGUACUGUCAACUUUAACGCCACUCUGUUUGCCGUUGUGCGAACGCAAUUGCAAAUUAAAACUACUGGUAUAAUAGACGAAUGCAACACAGAACUGCGAGCUAUCAUCAAAAAGGUUUGGAAGAGAACAUCUCCCAAGCUGCUGGACCAAGUGGUCCCGCCUCCGGGAGACCCCAAUGAGAUCACUGUCGGCAAGUUCUAUGCCACCUUCCUGAUACAAGAUUACUUUAGACGGAACCAUGCAUUCAGGAAACGCAAAGAGCUGGCCGCAGCCCAGAACAAUCAGAUGACAUUACAGGCUGGUUUACGCACACUGCAUGAGGCGGGUCCGGAAUUGAAGAGAGCUAUAUCUGGUAACCUGGAUGAGGUUGUUGGGGAAACUGUGGAACCUAUGCAUAGGCGCAAUCACACACUAUUUGGAGCGGUUUGGACAAGUAUUAAGAAAGGCCGCGGUAGUUUUUACGCACCUCGUAAAGUGCCAAAAACUAUGGUUAAAUCUAAAUCGGCCAAUGGUGAUAAAGGCAUGACUCUAAGUAUGAUGAUGCAGAGAGAACUUGGCAUGGACGGCAAGAUACCAGAAGAGGAGAAUAAAUAUGAUGAGAAUCACAGCGAUGGUGAUGAAGAAAUCGCGAUGCAGCCGCUGCUUCACGGAAAGGACUCGGAGAGGAUCUUCAGAGUUAUCGAAUCGUGACAAUAUGCCCAGACAGACAAACAACGUGCCUUAUUGUGUAGACAAGCCAGCGGAGAAUCUCAUUGCUCGGGUGUUAACCGAGCAGGGCCUAGGCAAGUACUGUGACGCGGACUUUCUGCAGAGCACCUCCCGCGAG